This 484-nucleotide ribosomal RNA is filed under the name uncultured bacterium. RNAcentral describes it as "partial 16S ribosomal RNA". It matches the Rfam family "Bacterial small subunit ribosomal RNA", at positions 30 to 507 of the family's 1533-position model. The record is from RNAcentral.
AUUGAACGCUGGCGGCAGGCCUAACACAUGCAAGUCGAGCGGAUGAAGGGAGCUUGCUCCUGGAUUCAGCGGCGGACGGGUGAGUAAUGCCUAGGAAUCUGCCUGGUAGUGGGGGAUAACGUCCGGAAACGGGCGCUAAUACCGCAUACGUCCUGAGGGAGAAAGUGGGGGAUCUUCGGACCUCACGCUAUCAGAUGAGCCUAGGUCGGAUUAGCUAGUUGGUGGGGUAAAGGCCUACCAAGGCGACGAUCCGUAACUGGUCUGAGAGGAUGAUCAGUCACACUGGAACUGAGACACGGUCCAGGCUCCUGCGGGAGGCAGCAGUGGGGAAUAUUGGACAAUGGGCGGAAGCCUGAUCCAGCCAUGCCGCGUGUGUGAAGAAGGUCUUCGGAUUGUAAAGCACUUUAAGUUGGGAGGAAGCGCAGUAAGUUAAUACCUUGCUGUUUUGACGUUACCAACAGAAUAAGCACCGGCUAACUUCGUG